This 499-nucleotide ribosomal RNA is filed under the name marine proteobacterium 'Tomales Bay wh'. RNAcentral's name for it is "bacterial SSU rRNA". It matches the Rfam family "Bacterial small subunit ribosomal RNA", at positions 30 to 508 of the family's 1533-position model. The record is from RNAcentral. Lineage: Bacteria; Pseudomonadati; Pseudomonadota; Gammaproteobacteria; Vibrionales; Vibrionaceae.
AUUAAACGCUGGCGGCAGGCAUACACAUGCAAGUCGAGCGGAAACGAGUUAUCUGAACUUUCGGGAACGAUAACGGCGUCGAGCGGCGGACGGGUGAGUAAUGCCUAGGAAAUUGCCCUGAUGUGGGGGAUAACCAUUGGAAACGAUGGCUAAUACCGCAUGAUGCUUACGGGCCAAAGAGGGGGACCUUCGGGCCUCUCGCGUCAGGAUAUGCCUAGGUGGGAUUAGCUAGUUGGUGAGGUAAGGGCUCACCAAGGCGACGAUCCCUAGCUGGUCUGAGAGGAUGAUCAGCCACACUGGAACUGAGACACGGUCCAGACUCCUACGGGAGGCAGCAGUGGGGAAUAUUGCACAAUGGGCGCAAGCCUGAUGCAGCCAUGCCGCGUGUGUGAAGAAGGCCUUCGGGUUGUAAAGCACUUUCAGUCGUGAGGAAGGUGGUAGUGUUAAUAGCACUAUCAUUUGACGUUAGCGACAGAAGAAGCACCGGCUAACUCCGUGC